RNAcentral lists this long non-coding RNA (1343 nucleotides) under Sus scrofa (pig). Its description in RNAcentral is "lncRNA (ENSSSCG00060004301.1)". Lineage: Eukaryota; Metazoa; Chordata; Mammalia; Artiodactyla; Suidae. The record is from RNAcentral.
GACUAUGCAGCGGACCUGACCUUCAGCUUCUUACUCCAUUUAUUUGUCCCAGCGGGUGAAAAUGGACAACAGGUCGACCACCUUCCUAACCACCCCUAACCGGAGAGUUCCCAUCAUGGCUCAGUGGUUAACAAAUCCAACUAGUAUCUAUGAGGACAUGAGUUCAAUCCCGAGCCUCACUCAGUGGGUUGAGGAUCCAGCAUUGCCAUGAGCUGUGGUGUAGGUCACAGAUGCGGCUUGGAUCUGGCGUUGCUGUGGCUGUGGUGUACUCCAGCAGCUAUAGCUUUGAUUCGACCCCUAAUCUGGGACCCUCCAUAUGCCAUGAGUGCAGCCCUAAAUAGAUGAAAGACAAAACAACAAAAAAGGAAUAACUCCUGUAGUGUGCAUAGCACUUUCCAGCUUAUAAAGCAUUUCCAUACCCAUUGUUUCAUUUAAUGUCUGAUACAAUCCCACCAUCUGGCAUUAUCACUCCUGUUCUACUGAUGAGCUUCAGAGAUAGAAGUAAUUGGCCAGGUUCAUGUAGCUAAAAAGUGAUGGAGCUAAGGCUGGAAUCAUGAUCAUAGGACUUCCAGUCCUAGAGUUUUUCUAGGUCCUAGACAUCUCAACGGCCUCCCAACUCCUAGCGGACCCUGAGUGGAGCACUGGCACUAGUGGGUGUGGUGCUGUGUGGUAGCGGGUAUGUCUUGCUGUGUGACAGUGCCCCUGUGUAGGCUUGGGUUUGUGGUUGAGUCCUCCAGCUAUGGUGCAGGUCAGUGAGAACUGACUCUUAGGUGCUUCUUUGGAUCCCUCCAGCAUCCAGCUCAAGAUGGAACAUAAAGGAGGGUCUCAAACAUGAGUGGAAUCGUUGUUGGCCUGCAGAAAUGCCAGCUGUAUGAACUCGCUGGAAUGAAACCCUUUGAAGGAACCAGCUCCUGGGAAGACAUGAGGACAGUGUGGAUGUGUGGGGCCUGGAAGACUCCCACCCCUCUCCUCCUCCAGUUGGAGCUCUGUUCAAAAAUAUUCGAUGAUCAUGAGAUCUCAGUAUGGGAGCCAGGAGUUGGCAGCCUCUCAAAAUUACGGAAUGGAGACCUAGGAGUGACCCCCACCCCAGACCAAGUGGAGGGAGGAAAAGAGAAUCUCGGACUGAUCGGAACCAUCCUAAACAUCUGGGAUUUAGGAGUUCUUGUGGCUCAGUGGGUCAAGAACCCGACUAGUAUCCAUGAGGAUGUAGGUUCAAUCCCUGGCCUCACUCAGGGGGUUAAGGAUCUGGCAUUGCUUCAAGCUGCAGUGUAGGUUGCAGACUCAGCUUGGAUCUGGCAUUCCUGUGGCUGUGUUGCAGGUUGGCAGCUAUAGCUCUGAUUUGA